Long non-coding RNA from Felis catus (domestic cat), 1295 nucleotides. RefSeq lists it as uncharacterized. The record is from RefSeq and is a predicted model, not a curated record. Lineage: Eukaryota; Metazoa; Chordata; Mammalia; Carnivora; Felidae. The transcript has 3 exons.
CCACUCCCUCGCGUGCCCUGUCUCUCAAAAAUAAAUAAAUACGAAAGAACAGAUCUACUCUGACACCUUUCAAAUACACGACUGCAGUAUUUUCCACCGCAGUUGCCAAGUGGCCCUGCUGUACCUGCAGCCCCACGGCUUAUGUUAUAACUGGAACUUUGUGCCUUUGGACUUUCUUACCCGUUUGCCCACCCACCAGCCCCCACUCCUGGCAGCCCCCAGCCUGGUCUCUGCGUCUGAGUUUGCUUUGUUUGUGUAGAUUCCACAAAUUUGCAAAUCAGCCACUGGUACGUGAGGUUUGAAGGAAGAAAGUGUCCAACACCCAAACCCGGAAGUGAUGCCAAACAAAAAUGGUGCCACGCCUUGAAGGGAGAGGUCUGGGGCCAUCCCUGUAAGCUGUGGCCCCCUGGGCCCGAGAUCAUUUCCCUCCCCUGCGUUUCUCCCGCCGGUCAACGUGCACACUGGCCAAGAAGUAAGCAAGACCGCAGGCCUUCCAGAAAACAAGACAAUUUAUUGUACCGAUCCUCGUGUAGUAUUGCACGGUAAUAUCAGACACUUCACCGAGUAGACACCGAAAUGGUCAUAAUUCACCUUUCCGUUUUAAGAAAAGAAGGAUCUGGUGAUUCAGUGCUUUCUCCUCCUUUACCGAAACAUGCGUGGGUGCCACGAACCCACCAACUGCAAACAACGGCUCCUAUCUCCUACUGCUGCCCGUGUCCCUGUGGUUACUUUCUGGAAAGGAACGGGUGUGUGAGGAGUACUAAGUCGGUUUCUUCCUUUGGGAUUUUAUAAAUUAGAAGUUCAGCCACACAGCCCUCAGAGUGGGAAGUACAAGGACCAAGGUGGGACAGAAAUAAGUUUUGGCAACAUCCACGGGUCACUCAUUUAACAAUACCGCUGCGUCCCCACCACGUCCCAAGCGCUGUGCUUGCCUGGGGCCACACGGCCCUUCCUUGCACAGACCUUAGAGUCUGACGGGGGAACGCACAGACUGGACACGUCGGAAGAGGUCGUAGAAAGUGCAUUAGAACGCGUCUUUGUGAAACAACAAAGAAAUCGUUAACGAUCAUAAUCUCAUUCUCUCAGUAUGUAAAACACAACACAUACCCAGAUUUUAUGACAUUUACUGACAUGAAAGGCUAGUAUCCAGGGUAAAUUCCACUUGUUUAACCGUCUUGGGGCGCCUGCGUGGCUCAGUCGGUGGAGCGUCCGACUUCGGCUCAGGUCAGGAUCUCGCAGUUCGUGAGUUCGAGCCCCGCAUCGGGCUCUGUGGUAACAAACAGCUCAGAGCCUGG